RNAcentral lists this transfer RNA (65 nucleotides) under Metasalis populi. RNAcentral's name for it is "tRNA-Phe". Lineage: Eukaryota; Metazoa; Arthropoda; Insecta; Hemiptera; Tingidae. The record is from RNAcentral.
AUUUAAAUAGCUUAAAUAAAAAGUUUAAUAUUGAAGAUAUUAAGAUAGGUUUAUCCUUUUAAAUA